RNAcentral lists this ribosomal RNA (862 nucleotides) under uncultured bacterium. Its description in RNAcentral is "bacterial SSU rRNA". It matches the Rfam family "Bacterial small subunit ribosomal RNA", at positions 88 to 987 of the family's 1533-position model. The record is from RNAcentral.
AUACUGAGUGGCAAACGGGUGAGUAUAAUGUGGGAAUCUGCCUUUUGGUCUGGAAUAACACGAGGAAACUUGUGCUAAUACCGGAUAAGCCUUCACAGGGAAAGUUUUAAUGCCAAAAGAUGAGCCCGCACUUGAUUAGCUAGUUGGUAAGGUAAUAGCUUACCAAGGCAACGAUCAAUAGCUGUUCUUAGAGGAAGACCAGCCACAUUGGGACUGAGACACGGCCCAAACUCCUACGGGAGGCAGCAGUGGGGAAUCUUGCACAAUGGGGGAAACCCUGAUGCAGCGAUGCCGCGUGAGUGAAGAAGGCCUUUGGGUUGUAAAACUCUUUCGUCGGGGAAGAAAAUGACUGUACCCGAAUAAGAAGGUCCGGCUAACUUCGUGCCAGCAGCCGCGGUAAUACGAAGGGACCUAGCGUAGUUCGGAAUUACUGGGCUUAAAGAGUUCGUAGGUGGUUAAAAAAGUUGAUGGUGAAAUCCCAAGGCUCAACCUUGGAACUGCCAUCAAAACUUUUUAGCUAGAGUAUGAUAGAGGAAAGUGGAAUUUCUAGUGUAGAGGUGAAAUUCGUAGAUAUUAGAAAGAACGUCAAAAGCGAAGGCAACUUUCUGGAUCAUUACUGACACUGAGGAACGAAAGCAUGGGUAGCGAAGAGGAUUAGAUACCCUCGUAGUCCAUGCCGUAAACGAUGUGUGCUAGACGUUGGAAACUUAGUUUUCAGUGUCGCAGCGAAAGCAUUAAGCACACCGCCUGGGGAGUACGACCGCAAGGUUAAAACUCAAAUGAAUUGACGGGGACCCGCACAAGUAGUGGAGCAUGUGGUUUAAUUCGAAGAUACGCGCAGAACCUUACCAACACUUGACAU